AUUACAAAAUUCUUAUAAACAUUUCCAUUGUCAUGCCUCCAUUAAACUUGCAGCAACGCCAUCUCUGAAGAUUAUUUUAUCUUGAGUUAUGUUAUCGACUGUAUCAUAACUUUUUGUGGGAGAUGCAAUAUAGCUUAUAUGUUCACUAUUAUUAUGAUUUAGCUUAUCCAUUGUUUCAUCAAAAUGAUCAUGAUUUUGUGAAUAUCCUUUGAUGUAAUUAUGUAAGGCCAUGGUAGUAAUAACUAUCUUCACCUGCUUCUUUAAUGUAUGGCUUGGCAUAUUUUGUAAAAUCUUCCUUAUUUGUUUUAAACCCCAAAAGAACUUGUUAGAAUGAACAAUACUCUCAACAUUAAGAGAUUCAAAUGCCUCAUUACUCUUUAAAGGAAAACUAGAUGAGGGAAACCAAACAAGGUCACUUGUAGCCACUGCAUUUGAAUAGUUAAUUUAGUUUUUUCUCCAACUAUGAAUCAAUACCAUUUUUUUGAAUUCUAUUGAAUUGCAAAUUUUCAUUUAUUUUCUUUUCCUACCGGUCCUCACUUGCAUCAACUAUACUUAACUAUGAUUCCACCUUAAAUAUGUUUCCUAGUCAAUCAUAUUCUUCCACAAUUUCCAAUUAGUUCUAAGAGAAUCCUAUUUGUUUUUCAUUUGAGUUCUAUUAUAAUCCAAUCCAAUUUCUUCAGUGAAUUCCUUAAUGAAAUAUUUAUAUGCUUGGAAAGUAGCCUUACUAGCUGAGCUACUAGACCUAAUUUCGUACACUUACACCUAGAAUAAAGAAUAAUAUUUCUUUGUCAAACAACAAUACCGGAAAGAGAUUAAUUAAGAGCAAUACCCAAUUUUUUUAAAAACAAAUAACACUAAUUAAGGAUGAAUUAUGUGUAGCAGCAAUGAACUAUGUCUAACGUUACACACCUGUAACACCCCAGCCCAACUUUGAGGACAAAUCUAACCACAACUCACCUAUGUACUUAAAUAUCUCUUUACAAUCAACAACAAUUCAAGUCUUAAAUACAAUAUUUAAAUAGCAGGAGACUUUAAAGAUUUUGCACAAUCAUCUACCAUCCUCAAUUUAAGUCUUCUCCUCACUCAUCACGAAUAAAUCUUGACUUCUGAAAACUGAAUCACAAUAAACUAUAAUGAGUACAAAACUCAAUAAGUAAACUGGUUUUUCAUAUACCAAAAUAGAUACAUACUUAUAUACAAUGUAAAUAGAUAAUAUGCCAUGAUAUUUUCAAAACACUAUAAAAUAAAUUCAUCAAAAUCUCUUUCUGUUGCUUUCAAACUUUCACAUUUUCUUUCAAUAAAAUACAUAUCAUGCAUAAGGCAUUUUGCGCAAUACUUGGCACUUUGCACUAUGCGUUGCACUUCACGACACUCUGACCCUCGAGAGGUGGCCCCUACAUAGUCUCAAAAGGUGGCCCCCACACGGCUUCAAGAGGUGGCCCCCAAUGCAAACUCUCAUAAAACUAAGUAUAAUAGCAAAAUUCAUGUACAAAUCAUAAAAUUAUAAAAUGCAAUAUUAUUAAACAUACUUUUUAUAAAAGCUUUGCAUGUUCAUGCUUAUGCCAAUGAACUUUCAUGCACACAUAUGCCCAUGCAUAUAAUCAUGUUCAACACAUAACAACACAUCACAUAAACACAUGGGUAGAAACAUAUAAAUCAUAUAUGUGCAUAUAAAAAAUAGGUUUUUCAAACAUGUCAAACAUAUACAUAUUAAUUUAUUGUGAUCCAUUUAGAAGUUUAGUUUACUUACCUCUUGGCAUCCACAUGUAACAAAUGCGUAUUGAUAUCAUCAACCUAAAAAUCAUUUAUAAACUCUCAUUAGAUAUAAUCAAGUCCUAAUCAUAAUUCUAAUGUCCUCAAAUUUCUCAUUUUAAACAUAUCCUAAACUCAACCUCAAAUACUCUCAAUAUUCGAUCCCAAAACAGAACAACCCAUGUUCUCUGAUUUUUGAUAAUUUAUUAUCUUAUUGGAAAAGUCCCAAAUUUUCAAGAGUAUAUGCUAACAUACUAGAAAUUCAUUGAUUAAAAUUUCAUAACUUAAUUCUUUCAAAAACUAUUGAAAAUAAUUUACGUUUCAGAUAUCAUUAAUUCUGUCAAACAACUUUCUAUUUUAAACAUACUUGUUUUAAAAAUACAAAACAAUUUAUUGUUUUAUCAUAAAAUCAUGAAAAUUUCCAAAAUCACACUAGACAAAUAUAAAAGUUGCUAAUCCAAGUUUCAUAAUUUUGGAAGAAAUCUAGCUAUGGUAAGAUAAAUUCGUAAUUCAUGUUCUUCAUUGAAAUUAGAAAUUUCCAUGUUUUCAAACUUGAGUUUAAAAAUUGUAAUUAAUUGAAAUCUUAUCCGGUUAGCUUGAAACAAGUUCCAAACAUUCUUCUAGUUUAAGAUAUUCAAAAUCUAGAAUCAAAAUCAAUUUGUACAAAUGGCUAUGAUUUUCGAAAUAACACUCUGUCAGCAUAUUUUCUGUGAAAUCUUAAGUUCUACUUCUAUUACUACUAUCUAACCAUGCUUCUCUAUAACAAUUAACACACUCUCAGCAUAGUUUCUGUGAAAUUUACCUCCAAUUCUCUCUCGACAUAAUAUCCAAUUCAAAAGCCACUACUUUGAUCUCAUGUGUCGCUCAUGGCUAACAAAGAAGAAGACUUUCUUUUUCUUCUUCUCUUCUUCUUUUUCAUGUGUUCUUUUUUUUUUUAACUCGCUCUCUCUCUCUCUCUCUCUCUCUCACAUUAAUAGCAAAGGAAGGCAUCUAUUGGGGUAUUACGCGUUUACCCCUUAAAAGAAUUUCGUCCUCGAAAUUCGCUUUUAGUUAUGCUCAAAAGAAUCUAAACCUCAAAAUCACUUAUGACCAAUAAAUCCUUAUAAAGACUAAAAAGAAACAUAUCAUGCUGUCGUUGCGCUACUCUGAUGCCUCAAUUAUAUAUUUCUUGGAAACAAAAUCACAAAGCGUAAAGGUGUGGUAUAGACCUAAUUCUAUUCAUCCUUACAACAUCCUUUCCAAGCGAUGUAGGAUGUCACAAAUGUCCACACAUUCUUGAUUGGGAAUGCUCUAAUACCAUUUGUAACAUCUCAACCUAAACUCUAAGGACAAAUUAAUCUAACAAUAACUCACAUAUGUACUUAAAUAUCUCUUUACAAUCAACAAUAAUUCAAGCCUCAAAUACAAUAUUUAAAUAGCGGGCGACUUUAAAAAUUUUGUCAAACCAUCUACCAUCCUUAAUUCAAGUAUUCUUCUCACUCAUCACGAAUAAAUCUUGACUUUUGGAAAUUGAAUCACAAUAAACUAUAAUGAGUACAAAACUUAAAAAGCAAACUAGUUUUUCAUAUACAUAGAUACUUAUAUAUAAUAUAAAUAGAUGAUAUGCCAUGAUCAAUUCAAAAUAUUGUAAAACAAAUUCAUCAAAAUCUCUUUCUGUCGUUUUCAAACUUUCACAUUUUCUUUCAAUAAAAUACAUAUCAUGCAUCUAGUAAUUUACGCAAUGUGUGGUACUUUGGACUAUGCGUAGCACUUCGCGGCACUCUAUCCCUCGAGAGGUGGUGCAACACCUUGGCAAAUCCUACAUUGACAAAGCAUAGAAGAGAUGUUGGGUUUAUAAGAGGUGUUUCAUGACACGACACAAAAGCGUAUUACUCACAAGUAUAAGAGUGUCUAGUUAUAAUAUAACCCGGUGAGUCUAGGGUCGAACCAUAGGGAAUUUUAAAAUCUAGUUGUCAAUUUGUUAAACAGAGAAAAUAAUUCUGGGGAAAUAAAUUAUUUGAAAACAAUUUAAAAAUAUGCUAAGGUUACGGGAUCCACUCUCAGUAUUCAAACUAUAAUUUUUAUACUCUCUCAUUUAUAUUUUGCCUCACUUUUACUAGUUAAUUAUUAUAUCACUUAAUUCUAUGUGUGAGGAUAAAUAUGGAAUAAAGUACCCAAAUUUUGACAUGGAAGAACUGGUUGGAAAGGCUGUGCAUGAUUGUCAUUUGUCCAACUGAAAUUUGGGUGGUUUCUCCAACCAAAGUUGUAAGUUUGGGAGUAUUGAUUUGAAUUUGGCCUUUUGAAAUUGUCAACGACAUUUACUUGUUCAUGCAAACUUUCUCUCAGAGCUGGCAAAGUUGGACAGUCCUGCAUAGAAUGGUCAGUAGAAUUGCAAACAUAACGUGAAAUAUUUUGAACAGACUUUACAUGAUCAUUCCUUUUCAACUCUAAUGCUUCGACUUUUCUAGCUAAGAAUGCAAAUGUGGCUUGAAAAUCACGGUCUUCCCUAAGGUUGUGCAUGCCUCCACUAAAUGGAGAUGACUGAGGCUUACUUGAUGACUCAUAAGAACCAACUGUAUCCCAGUGUUGUGCAUUCUCUGCUAUAUAGUUAAGAUAGUCUAAUGCAUUUUCAAGACUUUUAUCCCUAAACUCACCAUUACACAUCAUUUCAACGACUUGUCUGCCUUGGGAUGUUAAUCCCUCGUAGAAAUAAGACACUAAUCUCCAUGUUUCAAAAUCGUGGUGUGGGCAAAUGUUAAGUAGUUCUUUAAACCUAUCCCAACAUUGGUAGAGGGUUUCUCCUGGUUUUUGAGUGAAUGUGGUGAUUUGUCUUUUGAAAGAAUUUGUUAUGUGGGGUGGGAAUAAUGUUUUCAAAAAUUAUACUUGCAUUUCAUCCCAAGUUCUGAUAGAUCAUGACCUAAUGUUAGAGUGCAAUUUAUGCACUAGUUUUGUAUUGUUUACUUCCUUUAAUAUCGAUGUUUUGUACUUAAUGAUAGUGAUUUACUUGUCUUUUAUUUUUGUAGGUGCAAUUCUAUUGAUUGGUGCUAAAAUUGAGCUACAAGAUGAUGUUUGAGGAUGAUUGUUUUCCUGGAGAAAUUAUGAGCUUUAAAAGAACUUUGUUGAUAAGGCGUGGGCGCGUGCUGUCAACUAAGGACUUGCAGUUUUUAUUUUAACGUGUUUUAUAUUUUUGGUUAUUUUUGUAAUUUCAAAUUUAAUAUUUACAUAAUAUUUUAGAUAUUAGUAUUUUAUUUUGGGAGAAACGCUAGAAGAGGGGGGAGAGAGAUUUUUGGAAAAAGAAGAAAAAGUAACCCUAAAUCUAAUUUUUCUCUUCUCUCUAUGAAGAACUAAACCUAUUAUUCUGGUUAAAGGUUAAUAAAGCUUUGAUUCAUCAUUAUUGUGAGAUCUUUCUUAUGCUUUAAUUGUUUUAUUGCUUUUUGGGUAUUUGUUUAUUCUCUAAAUUAUUGUCAUGAUUAUGUUUGUUAAUUAGAUAAUUGGCCACUACUUAAUUAUCAACUUAAUCUAUUAUCAAUUAAAAGAUUCAUCGUAUGAAGAUUUUAAUGUUUAUGACAAAUAAUAUAGUAGUGCGUUGUGUUAUGAGAAUAAACAAUCUAAUUUAAAUGAAGUAUCGUAUGCGUUUGUUGAUUAGGAUUUGGGUCUCUCUGGUUUUUCAGGCUGUCAAUUGAUUAAAUCCUAUGAUCGUAUCUAGGGUUGUCUAUUGUUUAGGGAAAUAACCAAUGGUCGUACCUUGGUUAUAGACUAGUUAAGGAGAGAUUGACUAUUAGAGAGUCUCAGUAGCUAUAACCGGUCUAUUCAUAAGUAGUAGUGAUUUAUAUUUGAAUCAAUGAUUAGUAGUUGAAUUAAGCUGAGUUAAUUCCUUCAACCAGAGCUUUUCCUAAUUUGAAUUAAAAUUUGAAUUUGCAUUUUUGUUAUUUUAAUUUGAUUUUUAUUAUUGUCAACAAUCCCCCCCAUUUUGCAUUUUACAUUUUAAAAUAAUUUAAAUAAUUAUCGAUAUCUGUGGACACGACCUUAUGAAGGUUUUUCGGUGAAUAUUGUGGAGGAAGUGACUCUCGAGAGUCCCAUUUAUGCAGAUUGAUGCAUGAAUGUGUCUAACCAAAGAUAUAAAACAAAGGCGCUUUUUGGGAGGAAACCCAAAUGAUUUAUUUAUUUUGAAUUUUGUUAUAUCUUUUGUUUUUAAUUUUGAUUCAGAUUGUUUAAAUAAUGUUUUUGCUUAUUUUGGCCAGAAGAAAUUUUUUGGUUAGGCGUGCCCACGUUUUAACUAAUAAGAACUUCUAUGAUUUUAAAGUACAAUGGUUUUAAGGCUUGCCCAUAUGCUUAUUAAAAAAGUACUUCUGUAAAUUUUUUUGGUGUCUCAAGUGUCUCUUUUAGUUUUUAGUUUCAAUAAAAAAAAUAUUUGAAAAUAAAAAGGUUUUUUAAAAAAUUUUAUUUGAUAAAAAAAAUUGAAAUUUUUUUUUCAGGUUUUAAUCCCUAGCGCGCAGCUCUAGCCCGCGUCUCCAGUGCAAGCAGCCGCGUCUGCACCAGCCCAGCAUCCUGCGCGCAGUACCAGCCUUGAAACCAGCACCAGCGUCUCCAGCGCGCGUUUGCACCAGCCCUGCAAGCAGUCCAAGCCCAGCAACCCGCACAGCCUCACUCUCCUCUGUUCAAAGGACCGCCGCUUUUCGCAUUCAAACAAAACCCGUGAGUGAAAUUACUGUAACAAUGCCAAAGAGGAAAGCAUCAACUUCCAAGUUAUCAACGUCUAAAAAAAACUCGUUGCAAAGAAAUCCAAGAUUGCCGCUCCCACUACGGUCCCAUGGAACACAGUUUCAGAUUCACGCCAAGCCGUGAGACAAAGAUCGAAAUAUGGAAAAGGCAUGAGUGUUUUGCCACUUGCUGAAUCUAAUCUCAGAGGGUGCCUCACAUUCACGACUCAACAAGAGAAAGAAAUGUACAAAGAUAUUUCCAAGUGAAAAAUACUUCCAGCUAAGUAUAUUCAUUACCCGACUCUUGAAAAAUUGAAUGUUAAGGAUAAUUUUAAUUCUUUGAUAGAUAAGAUUGGUUUGCGUAAGUUUGUUGAUGUUGAUUGUUUGGGUUAUGUUGAGUUGAUUAGGGAGUUCUAUGCUACUUUUCAAUUUAAUAUACCGAAUGAUUUUACUUUGCAUACUCUGAAUGUUAUAAAGUUUAGGUUAAUGCGACGAAAUUUUUCACAAUCUAUUACAGAUUUUAACCUAGCUUUAGGAUUCAUUGAUGAUGAUUAUUCUUCUAGUGAUGCAUAUUUAGGGACAAAUUGUGACUUUAGCAAAAAUUUUGAGCCUUAUGGUCUUUGGCGUAAUUUAUUUUUUGAUCACAAUGCCUACGACCCGAGUAAAUCAAAGAGCUCUUUUUUACGUGAUCCUGUUUUGAAAUGUGUGCAUCGGUUCUUAGCAUUAGGAAAUAAAGAUCACUCGAGAGUUUUCUCUAAAAUUGAGUUUUAUUUUAUUUGGUGCAUGUUAAAUGAUGUGAGGCCUAAUCUAGGUUUUUAGUUAGCAGAUCAAUUUUAGAGUGUGCUUAAACGGUAUAGGACUUUAUUUCUUGGUCCAUACAUUACUCUGUUAGCUAUAAACUUAUGUGUACUUGAUCUUGACAAUAAUGAUUUACAUCUUGCUUGCAAAAAGGAAUUUUUGGAUAUGUCUUUGUUUGAAAGAGCAGGUUUGGUCUAAUUCGAGGGGAGAUUUCAGUUUACUGAACCAGGACCCACUCAAAUUCCAAAGAAGCUUUAUGCUAGGAGUCGUGCUACCUCUGAUGACGUGUUUGGCGACGAAAUUGCUGCCCCACCAACUAUUCCUGCUACAUCUGCACCACCUUUGAGCAUUUAGUUAGAGAAAAUGGAGCACAUGCUAAACAAGAUGAAGCAGAAUUUGGCCGCAUACUUCGAGAGUGUGGGAUUUAUCCCACCAUUUCCGUCAAGCCCAUAAACGUUAUGUGGAUCAAAGCUCACAAUUCAGAGAAGUUUUGCCUUUAAUCUUUUAUCCUUAUGCUUUAUUUCUUUAUGUGAGCUUUGAUUAUCAUACAUUGAGGACAAUGUAAGUUCUUGGUGUGGGGGAGGGAUUUUUGCAAUAUUGAUAUCUGGAAGUAUUAUUUUCACUCUGCUCAUCUUUAAAUGAUUUUGGAGUUAGUAUGCUUCAUAUAUUAUUCUUAAUUUUUUUCUUUUCUUUUCUUUCUCAAUACUCUUUUCCCAUCUAUCUCAAAUUAUUUACAUCUAUUUUUAUUUUAUCAUACUCUUUCAUCACUCACAUUUUAUAUUUCACUUUUUAUAUUACUACAUACAUCUUUCUCGCUUCUUAUCCUCUUGACCUUUCCUUUUAUAUAUCACUCAUACCUUCUUCUCAUUCUACACCACUAUUGAUGGUUGUUUCAUUUGAAGAGUGUACAUGAUUUGAUGGCAAAUUUACCAACUUUGUGAGGAUUUGAGCCUAUGAGCAACCAUUUUGCUCUAAUUAUUUUUGUUAUGUGAAUAUCAAUCUUAGUUUGUUUAUUCUAGAACUUGCUUUGUUAUGCAUGUUGAAGCCAUAUUACGGGAUUUUAUGCAUUAAAAUGAUAAGGGCAAACCACUUUCCAUUUCUCUAUUUUCGAAUUUUUCUUCUUUUUCUCCAUCCGAAGACCUUUAUUUGUUAUCUUUGUUUGAGCCUUAACCAUUCUCUUCACUUGUUUUAUUAUUAUUACUUUUGACCAUCUAAUUCUCUCCAUCUACUUACCCAUUUUCCUUUUUUUUGAGCUCCAAUUUAAGGAGAUUUUUGGACUCAUUGUUUGGAUAUAUUUUGUAUAUAUUCUGUUGCUUUUGCUACAUUGAAUUAAAGUUUCUCAAUUAGAUCAACAAGCAUUAUGCUUGAAUUAAAUUGUGCAAGGUUCAUUUCUUUUGUUUGGUUCACCAUUACUGUGAAAAAAGAAAAAAAAGAAAAAAAACAUUAAAAAAAAGUGUUUAUAUUCUUGGCGAUUUGAGUAGAAAUAAGUGUUUUGAUAUUAUAAGGUUCAUUCAAUGAGUUCAUUCUUCUCGGUUUGAUCUCUUUUUCUUUCAUAGACCUUUCUUUUUUAUUUAACCCAUUUAACCUUGUUACAACCUUUUUAAGACCCUUAGAUUUUUUCAUUUAAUUCAUGUUUUGUGGAUUGAGAUGUGAUAUAUGAGCAAUCUUAUGGUAAUAGCAUUCUUUGAUUUGAUUUGAGUGCAUAAAUGAUACCCUAAACACUUUGAGUGCAUGAAGUGAAGUCAAUGAGAGGGCUAUUAAAUCUUGUUGCACUUGAAUUUUGAAUGGAUCUUCUUGGUGGAUUGAAUGCUUUUAUACUAGCUUAUGAGAUCCUAUACUUUAAAAUCCUUGUCUCUCGAAUGUUGAUUGACUUAAAUUCUUGAGGUAUGCUUGCUUAAAUUUGUUUUUGGAUGAGUUGAGAUGAGAAUUGAGUGGAGAUUUGGGAUUAGUCUUGAGUUAUAUGCUUGAGGACAAGUAUUAUCUUGGUGUGGGGGAAUUUGUUAGAGUGCAAUUUAUGCACUAGUUUUGUAUUGUUUACUUCCUUUAAUAUCGAUGUUUUGCACUUAAUAAUAGUGAUUUACUUGUAUUUUAUUUUUGUAGGUGCAAUUCUAUUGAUUGAUGCUAAAAUUGAGCUACAAGAUGAUGUUUGAGGAUGAUUGUUUUCCUGGAGAAAUUAUGAGCUUCAGAAGAACUUUGUUGAUAAGGCGUGGGCAUGUGCAGUCAACUAAGGACCUGCGGUUUUUAUUUUAACGAGUUUUAUCUUUUUGGUUAUUUUUGUAAUUUUGAAUUUAAUAUUUAGAUAAUAUUUUAGAUAUUAGUAUUUUAUUUUGGGAGAAAUGCUAGAAGAGGGGGGAGAGAGAUUUUUGGAAAAAGAAGAAAAAGAAACCCUAAAUCUAAUUUGUCUCUUUUCUCUAUGAAGAACUAAACUUAUUAUUCUGGUUGAAGGUUAAUAAAGCUUUGAUUCAUCAUUACUGUGAGAACUUUUUUAUGCUUUAAUUGUUUUAUAGCUUUUUGGGUAUUUAUUUAUUCUCUAAAUUAUUGUCAUGAUUAUGUUUGUUAAUUAGAUAAUUGGCCACUACUUAAUUAUCAACAUAAUCUAUUGUCAAUUAAAAGAUUCAUCGUAUGAAGAUUUUAAUGUUUGUGACAAAUAGCAUAGCAGUGCGUUGUGUUAUGAGAAUAAACAAUCUAAUUGAAAUGAACCAUCGUAUGCAUUUGUUAAUUAGGAUUUGGAUCUCUCUGGUUUUUCAGGCUGUCAAUUGAUUAAACCCUAUGAUCGUAUCUAGGGUUGUCUAUUGAUUAGGGAAAUAACCAAUGGUCGUACCUUGGUUAUCGACUAGUUAAGGAGAGAUUGGCUAUUAGAGGGUCUCAGUAGCUAUAACCGGUCUAUUCAUAAGUAUUAGUGAUUCAUAUUUGAAUCAAUGAUCAGUAGUCGAAUCAAACUGAGUUAAUUCCUUCGACCAGAGCUUUUCACAAUUUGAAUUACAAUUUUAAUUUGCAUUCUUGUUAUUUUAAUUUGAUUUUUAUUAUUGUCAACAAUCCCCCCCCCAUUUUGCAUUUUACAUUUUAAAAUGAUUUAAAUAAUUACUGAUCUCUGUGGACACGACCCUGCUUAAUCACUAUACACAAUUUAUUUAGAGUAGGUAUUUAUUUUUGCUGGCUUCGACAACCAUCACCUAAGAUUUUGUAGCCAAGUUUUAUCUUUAUCCUUUAGUAAGAAAAGAAAAAACUUAAGCCUGAUUAUAUUCAUGCUACAAUUUUGAUCAGUACAUGUGUUACAGACUUCCUCAAAUUCCCUUAAAUGCAAAUAUGGAUUUUCAGACACAAAACCAUGAAAAAUAGGAAGAAGUUGAAUGAUACCAGGUUUGAAAUUAAAACGUGAUGCAUCAGGAGGGAAAACUAUGCAUGAUGGUGAUCUUGUUCUAGUGGGAUGCAUGAAGUCUUUAAGGGUCCUAGGCUGUUCAUGAAGAUUUUGCAAGACUUGGUCAUUUUCGUACUCCGAAAAUUUUUUAGCUCCUAUGUCAGCCAUAUCUAAGGGUGGUGAAGGUGAUCUCCUAAUUAAUCUGCCACUAUUUGUACGAGACCAACAAUGCAUGCAAUGCUAAUGAUGUGUGCUAAACCAAUGAUGCAUAAAAUGCUAAAUGAAAAUUGUAGAAAAUAAAAAUAAACUGGAAAUUAAAUAAGUAAAAAUGCGAAAUAAAAAUAAACAAAUUGAAAAUAAAUUAGGUGGUGAAACCAGCCAUAAACAAAGAAAUUACAAAAAUAAAUAAAUUUGGCAGUGAAACCAACCAUAAACAAAGAAAUUAAAAAAAACAGUUUAGGCGGUAUUUUAAAACCAGCCAUAUAAUAAAACAUAAAAUUAAAUUAAUUAAUGUACAAGAAUAAAUAAACUGAAAUUAAAAUGAUAGGCCGUAAAACCAACCAUAUCAAUAAAUUAACAAAUUGAAAUUAAAAUUCUAGGCGGUAGAACCGAACAUUUAAAAUAAAUGCGGAAAGUAAAUUGUAGAAAUUUGGGAACUGAUUUGCAAAGGUUUUUGGGCUAAAAUGAAGUUUCUCACAAAUUUUAUAGAUAAUGUUAAAGUUUGAAAAGAGGAGGGGCACUGACUGAAGUUUUACAAAAAGAGAAUAAAAUAGAAUCACAGAAAGAUAGUAACGACAAAAAAAUAUUAAAAUAAACUAAAGUAAAGAUAAACUGACACCAAAUUUAGAAAACUCCGCGGUAACGGCGCAAAAAACCUGACACGACUUAAAAGUGUAUUACUCCCAAGUAUGAAAAUGUCUAGUUAUAAUAUAACUCGGUGAGUUUGGGGUCGAACCACAGGAAAUUUUAAAAUCUAGUUGUCAAUUUGUUAAACAAAGAAAAUAAUUGUGGGGAAAAUAAAUUAUUUGAAAACAAUUUAAAAAUAUGCCAAGGUUAUGAGAUCCACUCUCAGUAUUCAAACUAUAAUUUUAAUACUUUCUCAUUUAUAUUUUGCCUCACUUUUACUAGUUAAUUAUUAUAUCAUUUAAUUUUAUGUGUGUGGAUAAAUAUUGAAUAAAGUACCUAAUGUGCCACACUAUAUUAAUGUGUCGACAUUAUGUCAAAAUACCAUACAAAUCCAAAGAAAUUUAUAAAUUAACAUGACAUAAAAAUAACUAGAAAAGAAUAAAAUAAACUUAAAAACUCAUUUGAGAAAAUAAUAAAUUUAAUAGUUUGAAAUAUUGAGUUUCACCCUUCACUUCAACUUAAUAAAAUUAGUCACUCAUAUUGAAAGAAAACACAAUACUCUUUUUAUUUCUUGUACUUUUGAAAUAUGUUACAAAGAAAAUUGAUACAGACGAAAACAAGAAAAGAAAAGAAAAGAAAAGAAAAGAAAAGAAAAGAAACAAAGAAACAAAGAAAUUCUUCAACUACACCCUUAGCUAUCACUCUCUCUCAGAACUCGGCUCCGUCCCCCAAUGGCUUGUAUCUCCUUGCAUUUUAUAGGCAAGGGAAGCAUCUUCUUUUCUUUUAUUUCAUUAAUAUUAAUAUUUUAUUUUAUUUUUAUAUUAUAAAUAUGUUAAUUGAAAUGUGUGAUGGCCUCCUGACCAUCACCAACAUGCUUGCCAAUCCUUUUUUUUAUUUGUUUUAUUUUUAAUAACAUCUCCUCGAUUGAUGAAUUCUAAAUUGCUCCAGCUGUCUUUCUUUAUUCUCGCUUUUAACUCCAAUUCCAUCUUUAUUCCUGAAAAAUAUUUAUAAGGUAAAAAUUAACAUAUUGCAAAUUAAUUUAACAAAAAAAUAUAUUUGGGGAAUAUUAAAAUAAUUUAAAAAUAAUGAGCGCAUUAAUUGACACAAUAAGUGAAAUACUAAUAAUUUUAUCCUUAUUAAAUGUGCACUUUUUAGUGUCAAUCACACCCCCCAACCAGCCCCAACCUGCUUAUUGCUAGGUAUUAGCAAUUUAAGCGAUAAAAGUUUAGUAAAAUUCAAACUCAAAUUGAAUUUUUUUUAAAAAAAUUGUAUUUACUUCUUUCAUCAGAUUAAUGACAACAAUCAAAUAAAAGUAUACUCAUUAUCUUUAACCUAAAGAAAAUCACACCUGCACAAAAAAGUUAAGUAAAAUCACGUAAAAUAAUCAAUUAUCAGAGCUAUAUUAAUCAAGUCACUUUUAAGAAUGAUACAUCAAAUCUCAAAACCUCACAAAUAAGAGUGACUCUCUCAAAAAAAAAUAUUCCCAAAAUUAAAUUGUCACUCUAAACAUGGUAGAUUUGAGAGAAUAAUAAAAUAAUAUCACACGCUCUCACUAAGAUGAAAAAAUAAUGUCUACAGCUUAAAAAUAAAAUGAUCUCAAGUCCAAGGAAUUACUAGCAAAAUUUAUUUUUAUUUUUAUGCAUCACCACAUCUUUUAGUCCAUAUUACCAGCUUUUACUUCAGACUAUAGUUCCGAAAAAUCGAGAAGGACUUUUAUUAGGACGUAACGUAGGCUAAGAUUAUCGCUAACAAAAAAGGUAAUAGGGAAAACAAAAAUAUAUGUUUAAAAAAUAAGGGACUUUUUGGAGAUUACAAGAUUCUUUUUUUUUCUUGGAUUUGUUUUCUCUUUUUUUGUUUUUUUUUUCAUUUUUAUUUUUAUAUACAUAUCCUCUCUUUUUUUUCAUAACACCAUUAUUAGAAAUACAUAAUCAUCCCUAUUUUCAAACAUAAUUGGGUGGUGGAAAACAUAAUAUAUAAGGUGAUACUCCACAUUGGAGUGGGAUAAUAUAAUAGGUUAUCAAAGGAAAAGUUUUUUUUUUUCAAAAGCUCAAAGGGGUUAACUAUGGACUCUUUAUAAUAGAGUUUGAUACAAAAGGCUUAAACAAAUCAAAGAUAGCCUUCUGUCAUUUUUUAGAGCUCUAAAUAAUCUUUCAUAUCUACUAGUUCAAUGGACUUUUAGAUGCAGCUGCACAAACUUUCUUUUUUUCACUCUUUUUUUUAAUAAAAAAUAUUGAGAUCUUGUACAAUAAAUUGUGAAGCUGUAUAGGCAAACAUGGUUACUCUCCAAGGAUAAUAGGCUCAAAAACUCGCUUGAACUUUUCAUAACAUGUACAUUCAUCCAAAUAGCUUAAUCAAAUUUACUCAUCAAAUUUCUCAAUUUAUGUUUCAACAUGCAACGGGGAAAACAUAGUGUAACAUAACUCCAGGCCAACGAUAAUACAAAUACCAAAAUUUGAAAAUCAUCAUGUUAUCCAAUGUUAAAAGAUCAUAUUGAAAAAGAAAACUCUUUUUUUUUUGUUAAAGAAACACUAAAAACAAUCUGGACUGAUUACAGAAACUUAAGGGAGAUGAUUAAGAGAAAAAGAGAAAAAGACAAAAAACAAAAAGUUAGAAAACAAUUUUUUUUUUAAGAACAAAACACUAAAAUUAAGAAGAUGCGUUUCUAGAGAUACUACAUUCUAUAUUUUGAUAUCUUCGACUCAAAUUUUUAUCUAAAGUUAGUCUUUACAACACAAAUUAGUAAAAACAUCACCAGGACUGAGACAUUCCACAAUUGUCGACUAUUCCCUCCCCCCAACCUGAAGGAGACAUUGUCCUCAAUGUCUAAAGAAAGAAGUAGAGUUUAGAAGAUAUCACCCGGCCACUGCUGAAAAUAUUUACAAACAGAGAGUUAAAUCUAAUUUAUAAUUUUUACGAGAGUUACUGCCAUCGUCAUCAGUUGCCCAAUCUAACGCCAAAGUCAUGGGAUCUGGCUCUAAUUUGUAAGCUUGCAAAAGAUCAAGUAACUCAUUAGCAGUAGGAGCACAAAUGAAGAGUUUUUUCGCUGAGGGUGGAAUGAAAUAAUUUUUAAUUGCAUGAUUAAGAAAUGUUAUUAAGCCAUCAUAAAAGUUAUUAACAUUUAACAAACCGAUGAGUUCAAGAAGCAAAUGUAAUUAGCGCCUCUAAAGUUGCAAGAUCUCCUGGCAAGAAAAUGAAAGCAUCAACAUGAUUUAACAUUUCAAAUAUUCUUUCUUGCAUACCUGAGACAACUAACUCUUCUCCAGUUGGUGGGUCUGGUAGACAUCCUAAAGGUUUUAAGGUUUUUGGAAUGAUUCCUAGCACUUGGCUUCCUCGAACGAAAGCAGCUUCAGAGACAAGCUUUGAUAACCCUCGGUCAUCUCCUCCAUAUAUAAGAUGUAGUUUCUUCUCUACUAUAACACGACCAAGAUCUAUCGCUGCCUGAACGAACUCCUUAUACUUUCCAUAGCGAAAUCCAGAAAGCACACAAAUGUUCUUUAAUUGUUUGCUUGAAGUUGUUGCCAUUAGAAAAAUUAUAAAAAGAAACAAUUUGUGAGUGCUUGAAAAGGAGGUCCUAUUUAAAGAUCUUGGUGACGGACAUAAUGAUAUACAUUUGUAAAUGGGGUGGUGUGUUUAUCAAAUGACGCGUGAAGCUUUUAGCUUAAUAAUUCAAAGGCAUAUAGUAAAAAGAAAAAGCAAACAGUGAUUAGAUAUAAAAAAGACACACAAUAAUAAUAAUAAUGCAAAAUAUAAAAGAACAAUAAAAUAAAAGGAUAUUUACUAGUAGUUGUGAUUGUGGCUUACAUCUUCCUCUGGUUUUACAUCCAGUAACGGCUUGAACGCCCUCUGUGGGUCGAGGAUAGGCUUCCCAUCCAGUUUUCUUAUAAACUGGCAAAUAGGGUCUUUUAGGAACAACUUCCACAAAUUUUGAAUUUCACAUUGAACAUAUCCGCUCGGAUGUGUCUCAAGAGAUCGUAAGAUAUCAUCCAACGAUUCUUUACUUAUGCCAUCCUUAACGAAUUUGAUUUUAUCUUCAUGAUUUACAGAAACCAUUCCUAAAGUUUUACAACAUGGUUUUCUACAAGCAAGUCUUACAUAGUUAGGACAUUUAGAGCCAAGUCUCUUAGCUCUUCUUUUCUUAGCAAAUGUACUUUUACCAAAACCAGGCAUGUAGGAAAUGAAUGGAUCAGAAAACUCACAUGCCAGUCGGACCUUUGCUUCAAUUAACCGGCGAAUGUCAGCAAGAAUCCCAUUGAUCAUUAACAAACGCAGUCGUUCACAACGAGUUUUGUAAAUCUUCUUAAGAGCAUUUUGAGGGAGAGAAGGAAAAUGUUGAUGCAAUUUUCGUUGUAUUUCUUCCAUGCUUGACAUUGAGGUUUCAGUUAUUGUGGAAAACUGAGAAUACCAACUUAAAAUGUCACAAAGUACUGUUAUCCGCCAUUUAUAUUGGAGAGUGAAUCAAAACAAAACGAAUCAAAUCUGCAAAAUCAAAUCAAAAGUGAAGAACAACAACAAAAUAAAACAAAAACCCACAAGGAAUAUUACUCACCUUCGUCCUUUUAUUGAAUUUACCUCCAGUUCCAAUUGCAGAUUAUAAAUACCAUCAUCUAUUUUCUUGAGUUGUCUUUCUAGAUCUUUCACGUGGUAUACCAACUCUGGUUGUUGUAGAUCCCAAAUGGGAUGUGAUUUACAAAAUCUGAGCAAUUUCCUCAAGUGAAAUUUUACAUGUAAAAGUUCUUUAAAAUGUUCGAAAAUGAUACUUCUCAUGGAGGUACUCAUGAUAAGUAUAACAAUUUGGUGAGCUAAAGCACAAUUGUCAAACAACACACAAUUAAAAACAAUGCAAUGCACUCCAUUCAAGACAUAAGGAAAAGGAAAAAAUCAACAAUUCAAACGAUAAAGUAACAGUAAAUCAAAUUCACAAAAAGUUGAAAUGAAAAAAGCUUAAUUAAAAUUUGGUGGGUCACUCAAAUUGAUUUCGGUAUCUGCUUCACGCGGUUGGUAUUCCAGAUAUGGUUUCAAUCUUUGACCAUUAACUUUAAAUAAGGCACCAUAAUUUGGAUUCUCAAUUUCUACGGCUCCAUAUGGAUAUACAUUUUUUACAACAAAUGGACCAUUCUACUUUGACUUUAAUUUUCCUGAAAAUAAAUGAAGACGAGAAUUAUAAAGCAACACUUUUUGACCAAUGUUUUCCGAAAAAUUCUUUUGCCAUGAAAAAAUUUGGUUCUUGCCUUAAUAAUUCUGGAAUUCUCAUAUGCAUUAUUCUUUAAUUCCUCAAGUUCAUUUAAUUGCAAUUUACGCACAUUACCAGCAUCAUCAAGAUUUGAAUUAAAAGCUUUAAUGGCCCAAAAUGAUUUAUGUUCAAGUUCAACUGGUAAGUGGCAAGAUUUUCCAUAAACAAGCCGAUAAGGUGACAUUCCUAAAGAUGUUUUAAAAACAGUACGAUAUGCCCAAAGUGUAUCAGUUAGUCGAAGAGACCAAUAUUUACGGUUUGGAUUAACUAUCUUUUCUAAAAUUUAUUUUAUCUCCCUAUUUGCUAAUUUAAGUUGACCACUUGUUUGAGGGUGAUAAGGGGUAGCAACUUUAUGUGUAAUUCUAUAUUUCUUCAUUAAGGACUAAAGUAGCUUAUUACAAAAAUGCUUACCCUAUCACUGAUAAUGACUCGAGGUAUUCCAAAUCUGCUCAAAAUAUUUUCUUUUAAAAAGCGAAUCACAAUCUUGUGAUCAUUGUGCCGACAAGGAAUUGCCUCGAUCCAUUUUGAAACAUAAUCAACAGCAACCAAAAUGUAUACAAAUCCAAAUGAUGAUGGAAAAGGGCCCAUAAAAUCAAUUCCCCAACAAUCAAAUAUUUCAAUGACAAGGAUGGGGUUUAAAGGCAUCAUGUUUCGCUUUGAAAUAGACCAUACCAUUUGACAAUUCUUACACACUUUACAGAAUGCAUGUGAAUCUUUAAAUAAUGUAGGCCAAUAAAAUCUACACUGUAAUAUUUUUACAGCUGUCUUUUUUCAAGAAAAAUGGCCACCGCAUGCUUCAGAAUGACAAAAUUGAAAGACCCUACUUACCUCGUCGUCUGGUAUGCAUCUUCAAAAAAUUUGAUCAGAGUAGUACUUAAACAGGUAUGGAUCAUCCCAGUAAAAGCUUCUCACUUUUGUUAAGAAUUUCUUCUUGUCCUGGGAACUCCAGUCACAUGGAAUUUCACCUGUUGAAAGAUAAUUAACAAUAUUAGCAUACUAAGGCAUUUUGUUUAUAGAAAAUAAAAAUUCAUCAAGGAAAGAAUCAUUGAUGGGUGUUGUUUCAAUUGAAGACUCAUUCGUAAGUAUUGAAAGAUGAUCUGUAACAACAUUUUCAACGCCUUUUUUGUCCUUGAUUGUCAAGUUAAAUUCUUGAAGUAGCAAAAUCUAUCGUAUCAACCUUGGUUUGACAUCCUGUUUUGACAUUAAAUAUCUCACAACAACAUGAUCAGAAUAAACAAUAGUGGAUGAACUAAUUAAAUACGAACGAAAUUUAUUCAAUGCAAAUAUUACAGCAAGUAGUUUUUUAUCAGUUGUAGUGUAAUUCAUUUGAUCACUAUUCAAAUACGAACGAAAUUUAUUCAAUGCAAAUAUUACAGCAAGUAGUUUUUUCUCAAUUGUAGUGUAAUUCAUUUUAUCACUAUUGAAAGUUCUACUUGCGUAAUAGAUGACAAAGGGCUUACCUUCCUUUUUUUUUUACCCCGAACAAUGCAAACGGUAUAACCACUAGCAUCACACAUUAGCUCAAAAGGUAAAGACCAAUCAGGGGGUUGCAUUAUUAGGGCUGAUGUCAAAAGAGUAGUUAUUCAUUUGAUCACUAUUCAAAUACGAACGAAAUUUAUUCAAUGCAAAUAUUACAGCAAGUAGUUUAAUUAAAUACGAACGAAAUUUAUUCAAUGCAAAUAUUACAGCAAGUAGUUUUUUCUCAAUUGUAGUGUAAUUCAUUUGAUCACUAUUGAAAGUUCUACUUGCGUAAUAGAUGACAAAUGGCUUACCUUCCUUUUUUUUUUACCCUGAACAAUGCAAACGGUAUAACCACUAGCAUCACACAUUAGCUCAAAAGGUAAAGACCAAUCAGGGGGUUGCAUUAUUAGGGCUGAUGUCAAAAGAGUAGUUAUUCAUUUGAUCACUAUUCAAAUACGAACGAAAUUUAUUCAAUGCAAAUAUUACAGCAAGUAGUUUUUUCUCAAUUAUAGUGUAAUUCAUUUGAUCACUAUUGAAAGUUCUACUUGCGUAAUAGAUGACAAAGGGCUUACCUUCUUUUUUUUUUUACCUCGAACAAUGCAAACGGUAUAAUCACUAGCAUCACACAUUAGCUCAAAAGGUAAAGACCAAUCAGGGGGUUGCAUUAUUAAAGCUGAUGUCAAAAGAGUAGUUAUUUUUUCAAAAACUUGUUGACAAUCUUUAGUCCAUUCAAAAGGUUUGUCUUUUAUUAUGAGGUUACAAAGUGGUCUAGAUAUGACACUAAAGUCUUUUAUAAACCUCCUAUAAAAUUCUGCGUGUCCUAAAAAUGAACGGACUUCUUUAAUUGUCUUUGGUGAGGGUAAUUUUGAAAUGACUUCAACUUUGUCUUUGUCAACUUCAAUUCCUUUUGAAGACACAACAUGGCCCAAGACAAUUCCAGAAGUGGUCAUGAAAUGACAUUUUUUCCAAUUUAAAAUUAGUCAUUUUUCUUUGUACCUUUCCAAAAUUUUUUCUAGAUUAUCAAGACAUGUAUCAAAAGAAUUACCAAAUACAGUUAAAUCAUCCAUAAAACCCUCUAGACAAUUUUCAACCAUAUUACUAAAAAUGCUUAGCAUGCACCUUUGAAAUGUUGCAGGAGCAUUACAAAGUCCAAAGGGCAUUCUCCUAAAUGCAAAUUUUCCAAAUGGGCAUGUGAAUGUGGUCUUUUCCUGGUCUUCUAAGUCUAUAGGGAUUUGAUAAUAGCCAGAGUAGCCAUCAAGAAAGCAAUAGUAAGGAUGUCCAACUACUCUUUCGAGAAUUUGGUCUAAAAAUGGAAUGGGAAAAUGAUAUUUUCUAGUGGCAUCAUUUAAUUUUCUAUAAUCAAUGCACAUGCGCCAACUAGAUGGAAUUUGUGUUGGGAUUGGUUCACCUUUUUCAUUUUUUACAACGGUUAUUCCAGAUUUCUUUGGCACUACUUGUGUUGGACUUACCCAUUUACUAUAAGAGAUAGGAUAGAUAAUUCCUACAUCUAGUAGUUUAAGGACCUCAUUCUUUACCACUUCUUCCAUAUGAGGGUUUAGUCUUCUUUGUGGUUGACGGGUUGUUUUGGCAUUUUCCUCUAAGUGUAUUCGGUGUGUACAAAUUAAAGGAUUAAUGUCUUUUAUGUCUUUUAAGGUCCAACCAAAUGCAGUUUUAUGCCUUUUGAGUACAAAUAACAACUUACUUUCUUGAUCAUGCAUGAGCUGGGAAGAAAUUACCACCAGAUUUGUCUUCUGCUCUCCAAGAUAAGCAUAUUUCAAUUCUUCUGGUAAGGGCUUUAAUUCGAGCUCUGGUGCUUCCUCUUCGUUUGAUUCUUCAGGUUGUACCGUAUCUUUAAAGUUCGAUUGGCCAUCGUCACCUGUAGGUACCUGCAUAGAAUCAAGUGUAGAACAUAUGUUAGCAGUAUUAUAAUUUAAUUCUUUACUUGAUCCAAAAGAACCAGCAAAAUAAAUUUCCAUAAAGUUUGUAAAAUUCUCAUCCUGAAUGUGUUCCUCAAUGAUUGGCUUGAUAAGAUCAAUCUUCUCAUUCUCAUUAUCAUCAUAUUCUUGGUGGUGGGGUUGUUUACACAUGUUGGACACAUUGAGUUCUAAUGUCAUGUUGCCGAAAGAUAAAUUCAUUACUUUAUAUUCCUGCAAUUAAUUAAAGUAUUAGUAGUAGUUAAAAAUGGUCGACCCAAUAUAAUAGGAAUUUGUUUGCAUUCAUUAGCAAUUGGUUCCGUUUCCAAAACAAUAAAAUCCAUAGGGUAUAUGAAUUUAUCGACUCGGACUAAUACAUCUUCAAUUAUUAUUCUUGGAACUUUAAUCGAUCUAUCAGCAAGUAAAAGAGUGGUAGAAGUUGGUUUUAACUCAUUGAGAUUGAGUUGUUGGUACAUUGAGUAAGGAAGCUAAUUAACACUAGCACCAAGAUCAAGUAGAGCAUGUCCAAUUUUAUGAUCCCCAAUAAUGCAAGAAAUAGUUGGACAACCAGGAUCCUUGUAUUUCAAAGCACUAUUGGUUGAGAGAAUGGAACUUUCCUGUACUACUAGAAACGCUUUCUUUUGCACUUUAUGUUUCCUUUUCACCGUGCACAAAUCUUUCAGAAAUUUAGCAUAAGAAGAUAUUUGUUUAAUGGUGUCCAGCAAAGGAAUGUUGACCUUCACUUGUUUAAAAACUUCAUAAAUUUCUAGACUGUGCUUUGAUUUCUUUGGCUUGAUUAGUGCUUGAGGAAAUAAGGGUAGAAGGGGAGAGUUGGUUAUUUCUUCAUGGGUUAAAGGUUCGAAAGACUCUUCCCUAUUUUUUGAAAUUAAAUCUUUACUAGUUUCAUGAGGGUCCACAAUGUGUUUUUCGACCACUUUACCACCACAAAGGGUUAUAACCGAUUUGACUUGAUUUAUAUUUUGGUUUCCUGAAUUUCCCAUUUGAGGAUGUUGUUGACUCUUGGGGUUUGGUUCAGGUUGAGCAGGAAACUUUCCUUUUUCAUGCAUGGUCAGAGCAAAUGUAAGUUUGGAGAUAGUUUCUGUCAAAUUGGUUAAGGUUUGCAUUGUUUGGUUAUUAAUCGACUCUUGUUUUUCAAUAAACAAAUGCAAUGUGUCUUUCAGAGUUUUUCUUGAUGGUGGGACAUAUGGUGAGUAACUCUGGGGGUUUUGGAAAUUUUGACAUUGAAGAACUGGUUGUGAAGGCUGUGCAUGAUUGUCAUUUCUCCAACUGAAAUUCGGGUGGUUUCUCUAACCAGAGUUGUAAGUUUGGGAGUAUGGAUUUGAAUUUGGCCUUUUGAAAUUGUCAACAACAUUUAGUUGUUCAUGCAAACUUUCUCUCAGAGCUGGCAAAGUUGGACAGUCCUGCAUAGAAUGGUCAGUAGAAUCGCAAACAUAACAUGAAAUAUUUUGAACAGACUUUACAUGAUCAUUCUUUUUCAACUCUAAUGCUUCGACUUUUCUAGCUAAUGAUGCAAAUUUGGCUUGAAAAUCAUGGUCUUCCCUAAGGUUGUGCAUGCCUCCACCAGAUGGAGAUGACUGAGGUUUACUUGAUGACUCAUAAGAACCAACUGUAUCCCAGUGUUGUGCAUUCUCUGCUAUAUAGUCAAGAUAGUCUAAUGCAUCUUCAGGACUGUUAUCCCUAAACUCACCAUUAAACAUCAUUUCAAUGACUUGUCUACCUUGGGAUGUUAAUUCCUCGUAGAAAUAAGACACUAAUCUCUAUGUUUCAAAACCGUGGUGUGGGCAAAUGUUAAGUAGUUCUUUAAACCUAUCCCAACAUUGGUAGAGGGUUUCUCCUAAUUUUUGAGUGAAUGUGGUGAUUUGUCUUUUGAAAGAAUUUGUUAUGUGGGGUGGGAAGAAUUUUUUCAAAAAUUGUACUUGCAUUUCAUCCCAAGUUUUGAUGGAUCCUGACCUAAGAAUUUUUAGCCAAGUUUUAGCUUUAUCCUUAAGUAAGAAAGGAAAAAACUUAAGCCUGAUUAUAUUCAUGCUACAAUUUUGAUCAGUACAUGUGUUACAGACUUCCUCAAAUUCCCUUAAAUGCAAAUAUGGAUUUUCAAACUCAAAACCAUGAAAAGUAGGAAGAAGUUGAAUGAUACAAGGUUUGAAAUUAAAACGUGAUGCAUCAGGAGGGAAAACUAUGCAUGAUGGUGAUCUUGUUCUAGUGGGAUGCAUGAAGUCUCUAAGGGUCCUAAGCUGUUCAUGAAGAUUUUGCAAGGCUUGGUCAUUUUCGUGCUCCGAAAAAUUUUCAGCUCCUAUAUCUAAGGGUGGUGAAGGUGAUCUACUAAUUAAUCUGCCACUAUUUGUACGAGACCAACAACACAUGCAAUGCUAAUGAUGUGUGCUAAACCAAUGAUACAUAAAACGCUAAAUGAAAAUUGUAGAACAUAAAAAUAAACUGGAAAUUAAAUAAGCAAAAAUAUGAAAUAAAAAUAAACAAACUGAAAAUAAAUAAAAUAAAUAAAUUAGGCAGUGAAACCAGCCAUAAACAAAUAAAUUAAAAGAAACAAUUUAGGUGGUAUUUUAAAACCAGCCAUAUAAUAAAACAUAAAAUUAAAUAAAUUAAUGUACAAAAAUAAAUAAACUGAAAUUAAAAUGAUAGGCAGUAAAACCGACCAUAUAAAUAAAUUAACAAACUGAAAUUAAAAUUCUAGGCGGUAGAACCGACCAUUUAAAAUAAAUGCGGAAAGUAAAUUGCAGAAAUUUAAAGAAAUAAAUUCGAUUUGGGGACUGAUUUGCAAGGUUUCUGGGCUAAAAUGAAGUUUCUCACAAAUUUUAUAGAUAAUGUUAAAGUUUAAAAAGAGGAGGGGCACUAACUAAAGUUUUAUAAAAAGAAAAUAAAAUAGAAUCACGGAAAGAUAGUAACAACAAAAAAAAUAUUUAAAUAAAAUAUAGUAACGAUAAACUAACAUGGCUUAAAAGCGUAUUACUCCCAAGUAUAAGAAUGUCUAGUUAUAAAAUAACCUGGUGAGUUUAGGGUUGAACCACAGGAAAUUUUAAAAUCUAGUUGUUAAUUUUUUAAACAAAGAAAACAAUUGUGGCGAAAAUAAAUUAUUUGAAAACAAUUUAAAAAUAUGUUAAGGUUACGGGAUCUACUCUCAGUAUUCAAACUAUAAUUUUAAUACUCUCUCAUUUAUAUUUUGCCUCACUUUUACUAGUUAAUUAUUAUAUCAUUUAAUUUUAUGUGUGUGGAUAAAUAUGGAAUAAAGUACUUAAUGUGCCACACUAUAUUAAUGUGUCGACAUUAUGUCAAAAUACCAUACAAAUUCAAAGAAAUUCAUAAAUUAACAUGACAUAAAAAUUACUAGAAAAUAAUAAAAUAAACCUAAAAACUCAUUUGAGAAAAUAAUAAAUUUAAUAGUUUGAAACAUUGAGCUUCACCCUUCACUUCAACUUAAUAAAAUUAGCCACUCAUAUUGAAAGAAAACACAACACUCUUUUUAUUUGAUAUACUUUUGAAAUAUGUUACAAAGAAAAUUGAUACAAACGGAAACAAGAAAAGAAAAGAAAUAAAGAAAGAAAGAAAUUCUUCAGCUACACUCUUGGCUAUCACUCUCUCUCAGAACUCGGCUCCGUCCCCAAUGGCUUGCAUCCCCUUGUAUUUUAUAGGCAAGGGAAGCAUAUUCUUUUAUUUUAUUUUAUU
RNAcentral lists this long non-coding RNA (23736 nucleotides) under Citrus x clementina. RNAcentral describes it as "Citrus clementina (C. clementina) long non-coding RNA (CCLE_LNC004042)". The record is from RNAcentral. Lineage: Eukaryota; Viridiplantae; Streptophyta; Magnoliopsida; Sapindales; Rutaceae.